UACAGAGGGGGCAAGCGUUAUUCGGAAUUAUUGGGCGUAAAGGGCGCGUAGGCGGCCAUUCACGUGACGGGUGAAAGCCCUCGGCUUAACCGAGGAACUGCCUGUCAGACUGGAUGGCUUGAGACCGGGAGAGGUGAGUGGAAUUCCCAGUGUAGCGGUGAAAUGCGUAGAUAUUGGGAGGAACACCAGUGGCGAAGGCGGCUCACUGGACCGGAACUGACGCUGAGGCGCGAAAGCGUGGGGAGCAAACAGG
This 253-nucleotide ribosomal RNA is filed under the name uncultured bacterium. Its description in RNAcentral is "partial 16S ribosomal RNA". It matches the Rfam family "Bacterial small subunit ribosomal RNA", at positions 524 to 776 of the family's 1533-position model. The record is from RNAcentral.